UACGAAGGGGGCUAGCGUUGUUCGGAAUCACUGGGCGUAAAGCGCACGUAGGCGGAUUGUUAAGUCGGGGGUGAAAUCCUGAGGCUCAACCUCAGAACUGCCUUCGAUACUGGCAAUCUCGAGUCCGGAAGAGGUUGGUGGAACAGCUAGUGUAGAGGUGAAAUUCGUAGAUAUUAGCUAGAACACCAGUGGCGAAGGCGGCCAACUGGUCCGGUACUGGCACGCUGAGUGCGGAAAGCGU
RNAcentral lists this ribosomal RNA (241 nucleotides) under uncultured bacterium. RNAcentral describes it as "partial 16S ribosomal RNA". It matches the Rfam family "Bacterial small subunit ribosomal RNA", at positions 524 to 762 of the family's 1533-position model. The record is from RNAcentral.